CUGACCUCUGCCUGCCGUUCUGUACCUUACUGACUCUGCCCUGGAUUACUGACCUCUGCCUGCCCUAACCCCGAGCCUGCCUGCCGUUCUUUACCUUACUGACUCUGCCCUGGAUUACUGAUCUCUGCCUGCCCUAACCCCGAACCUGCCUGCCGUUCUGUACCUUACUGACUCUGCCCUGGAUUACUGACCUCUGCCUGCCCUAACCCCGAACCUGCCUGCCGUUCUGUACCUUACUGACUCUGCCCUGGAUUACUGACCUCUGCCUGCCCUAACCCCGAACCUGCCUGCCGUUCUGUACCUUACUGACUCUGCCCUGGAUUACUGACCUCUGCCUGCCCUAACCCCGAGCCUGCCUGCCGUUCUGUACCUUACUGACUCUGCCCUGGAUUACUGACCUCCUGCCUGCUCUUGACCUGUCUUUUGUCUGUCCCCUGAUUUGUCAAUAAAUAACUGUGCUUCGAACUGUCUGCAUAUGGGCCUUAUCCUGAGUCGUGAUAUUCAGGCACUGGAAAAAAAUCAGAAUUCACACAAGUUCCAAUCAAAAAUGUAUCUUUCGAGCAGUGUUUUUUAAAUAGUAUGUUAAUUCUGUAGAUAAUCCUCUAAGUAUUCCAAUGGUCCAAACCUCGUGUCUAUCAUAACCCGUUCGAGUUAUUGGAGUCUUUACCCUUGUGGGAUGGUCAGAAUUCGGGUGACUAAAUCAAUGGAGGCCGGAGGGGGAAAAAAGUGGUAAAAAAAAGUGGAAAAUUGCAUUGUGUCAGCUAGGCUGGAUUCUGUGGCAGAUUUAAGGCUAUUGGCUACCUGACAGGCUCACUUCCCUGUUGAACUGGUCAUCUUUCUUCUCCAAUCCGCAGGACAUAAAACAAUAUAGAGCUAAGAUGGAUAUCGAUUUUGAGACAUGACGUAUUUUCAUAUUUUAGUACACACUUUUCAUAUGAAUUGGAAAUUCCUGUUCUUUUAUGCUUGUUUGUAAGAAAUGAUUGAAUCUCUAUAAAAUGAACGCUGAGCAUUCCAAGCUUUUUAUUAUCAGUCUUUUACAUUUAAUUCAUUCUCAUUUGCUUUUUGCGACCUGUUAACUACUUGGAAGACGAUGACCUCAAAAUGUAACAUCUUUAGAAGUUAUGAGAAACCUGUACCACGAUGUCAACAGAUCUUGGUGCUUAUUAUCGUAUGUAUUAGAUUACGAAAUCCAACUUUUUGGAUAUAAUACUAAUAUGUUAGAGAAAGACCCCACAAUGAUUCAGACAUGAAUAAUCAUAUUUGUCUUGGUAAAAUGUAUUUGAUAACAUAAGGAAGUGAAAUUUCAUCACCAAAGUGCGUCUUGGCAGAGUGGGUGGACACUGUGCAUUGUUUUGAAACCACCAAUGAUAGUGUUGGCAGAUUUCACACUGCACCAGUCUUUACAUUGUGUCAUUCAGUCAUCGGUCUAUAACUUCUGCUCUUUGAUGCGUGUUUGAUUAGUGUGAUUGGAUGUGGCAGUAAUCAAAAGAGAUGUAUACCACAUGGUGUUCAGUUAUACCGAAGCUCCCAGCUAUCCACCUGUCCCCCCCCUUCUGCUCUCACGUUGCUUGUGGAUUUUGCCUGGUGCUUCUCAUUAAAAACUCAGUGAAACAUGAGAGAAAUAGUUCUGACAAGUGAGGAUUUCCCAAAGACUCUGUCAAACUGACAGACAGAUAAAUAGACAUCGGGCAAGCAUGUUGUUGAUAGCAGAUUCCUUACUGUGAAAACACAGGUGUCUCUGAAGACUAGGGGAAAAACCCAUAUGUAAUUGACAAUGCUGAUAGUCGGUUUUAUGUAAGUUGCAAAAUCACUGACUUUCUCUGGAAUGAGAGUAGAUGUCAAACUAUUGGCAAUGUGUGGGAGAAAUUGAAAGCAACCGAUGAUUAACUCAUGGUGACACUAGGUUGUUGGCUUUGGUUGAGUUAUUUGUUCUGUUCAACAGAAUUAGGUUCUUAUUCCCGUAAGCAUAUUACUUCAAAUUCAUAUUUAAUCUUUUCUGACAUCUUUUCUUCCCUCUUCUGCUUUCCUUGUUUUCCCAUAAUAACUUCAAGUUUAUUAGAGCUGUUUGGUGUAUCUACAGUACAGUAAUGGUUCUAUGAGCUCCUUAGCUCUGGCUUGAGUGCACACUCUUUUCCGUCACGUGCCCUCUGUCACCAGUAAACUUUUUGAAAAGCGAGUUUAACAGGUCAUGAAAGAGCGGGACAGAUGGCUACAUUCUAGGUGGUAAUUAUCAACCACUUCUUCCCAAAAACAAGCAAAGGUGUUGCCAUCAGGUCAGGCAGCUGACAUUUCGCUAGUCAACUUCAAUCGAUGUCUGUCUUCUGCCACGGAGAUGGCGAGAGAACGGUGUCACAGGUCACACUCAUCCAUAAGAGGAUGUGCAUCACUCUGGAUCAAGUCUAUUAAGAGCUGACUAGUAGGUUGGAAAAUCAAAUGUGAUUCUACUGUAUUGUAGGCACUGGUUGAUGAGUGUUUUCUUUAGGUAGGUUUUCUGUGUUGUCGUGCACAGACUUGACAAGAUGGCGCUGAUUGACAUGGUCGUCCUGUUCAUGGCUCCACAAGCAUUUUGCUACACCUGCUAAAUAUGUGUAUGCGACCAAUAACAUUUUAUUUUAUUUGCUAUAAGACCUGAUUAGUGCAAAUCUUCCCGUCUCGACAAGCUGUUGGUAAUAUGUGUGUUUACUCUGCAUUUGACGAGCAGGGAUUGCUUUUGAAGAGCUUAACCGUUUAUUUUGGCGACGAGCUAUUGAAAUUGAAGGUGACAGCUAAUUUGAAUCUCUCUUAAUUUGGGCGAAUUGGAAUACUCUACACGGUGACGGCAGCUCCCCUUGUACACGCGUGCACAUGCAAAAAUAUGUAAAUGCUUCCCAUAUUAGAAUCUUUGUCUGCUUGUCAUUCUCACAUGGGACACAUCAAAGCCACAUGACCUGAUUUUGCACCUGCUGUUUAAUUAAAUUUACAAGACAGACAGUCUCCAGUCCUGGUGAUGUACAAAUCUGGUUUUAUUACCCGGGCCCUGUAAUUUACAAUGCAUUUGACUGAUGAGUGGUAAUGCUGCCUCCCAAAGAGGGAGGCACCAUUACCUUACUGCCAAUACAAGGGCCAUCCACAGACAUUUUGAACUUUCUCCUGAUAUUAGGCUCUGAGAGUGUUGCAAUUGACAUUGUUUAAAGGAAUUUGUAUUAUGAAUUCAUGGUUUGAUAACGGUUGUUAUUUUGUAAAUAUGAUGCACUCCGAUUGAUAUAUUAUUCAUAAUCCAUUAUGAUUAUAAUGGUAGUCAUUUAUUCCCAAUUUUAUACUCUCUAAUUACUUGUAAUUACAUUAGGGUAUACAUUACUUGCCAGCAUAUUCCUUUAUAAAACAACACAAUACAAAAUAAAAUACAAUACAAUUAAAAAUGAAAUGUUUUGUUCAAAAAGAG
Long non-coding RNA from Oncorhynchus tshawytscha (Chinook salmon), 3421 nucleotides. NCBI's taxonomy places the organism in Eukaryota, Metazoa, Chordata, Actinopteri, Salmoniformes, Salmonidae. The record is from Ensembl.